AGUGAACGCUGGCGGCAGGCCUAACACAUGCAAGUCGAGCGGCAGCGCGGGGGCAGCCCUGGCGGCGAGCGGCGGACGGGUGAGGAAUUCGUCGGAAUCUGCCUUUUUGUGGGGGAUAACGUAGGGAAACUUACGCUAAUACCGCAUACGUCCUACGGGAGAAAGUGGGGGACCGCAAGGCCUCACGCAGAAAGAUGAGCCGACGACCGAUUAGCUAGUUGGUGGGGUAAAGGCCCACCAAGGCGACGAUCGGUAGCUGGUCUGAGAGGAUGAUCAGCCACACUGGGACUGAGACACGGCCCAGACUCCUACGGGAGGCAGCAGUGGGGAAUAUUGGACAAUGGGCGCAAGCCUGAUCCAGCCAUGCCGCGUGUGUGAAGAAGGCCUUCGGGUUGUAAAGCACUUUUGUCCGGAAAGAAAUCCCUGGAGCUAAUACCUUCGGGGGAUGACGGUACCGGAAGAAUAAGCACCGGCUAACUUCGUG
RNAcentral lists this ribosomal RNA (484 nucleotides) under uncultured bacterium. RNAcentral's name for it is "partial 16S ribosomal RNA". It matches the Rfam family "Bacterial small subunit ribosomal RNA", at positions 29 to 507 of the family's 1533-position model. The record is from RNAcentral.